This is an RNA transcript of Brassica oleracea var. oleracea, 4294 nucleotides long. RefSeq lists it as uncharacterized. NCBI's taxonomy places the organism in Eukaryota, Viridiplantae, Streptophyta, Magnoliopsida, Brassicales, Brassicaceae. The record is from RefSeq and is a predicted model, not a curated record. The transcript has 9 exons.
CUCUCUACUGUCGGUUUCUCAAAAUUGAAGAAUAAGGCGAUCUACAGACAGCCGACCUUAGUUUGAUGCUCAUCGGUAAAUCACCUAUUGUAACCAAUGACUUUCUUUCUUUCAAUGAGAUAGAACGUGUUGUGAUGACUUCAAAGAGAGUAAAAACGGAUUCAAAGUUUAAGCCGUAAAAAUUCUGAUGGACACCGAAACUUGAAAGAUUUUAUAUACACGUAAGGAAAAUCAUAUAAGGAGAUUCAGAUGCAAUGAGACCGUUUUUAGCGUAUAUCAGGCCAUAUUGGGAACAUGAAGUAUGUGCUUAAGAGCAGCUUGAUGAAGUAACCUCUGUUUGGUUGGGAGUUUCACCUCUUUGAGUUUAUCCCCGUUGAGCGGAGAUGGGAAGUUGAUGACGCGAACUUGAGGCAGAUAGUUUCGAGUUUAAAGGAUCCAAGAGAUGCUUUGUGGCUUGAUAUUUUCCCUGAAGGCAGAGAUUACAUAGAGGCUAAAUGCCAAAGCUGAACAUGGCUUACCAGUUCUGAACAACCUCCUAUUGUCUUCCAAGAACUAAGCUGUUAACUCGAUGAAGUUUAUGAUGUGAUCAAAGUAUGCAUAAGACUCGUUACUGAACGCGUUCCAGCUAAAAGACCAACUUCUUAGUGAGUUAUACCCUCGCGGCCAUUUCCCUAACGAAGGAACAGAAAAGGAGUUCAACACAAUGAAGUGCCUCAUAAACUGCUCGGCAGUGAUUGUCUUCACAGUCGACAUGUUUUUGUGCAGAGCAAUGUAUAUCAGGUAACAUAUUACUUCUCAAAUAGUUUUUGUAUAGAGUAAUGUAUAGUUCGUUAGGAAUUGAACUGAUUCUGGAUAGAUAUGGAAAUUGGGACAUCUUGCUAAUUGACGAUUAGUUUUCACUGAUUAUUAUAUAACAUCUGCUUUUAUAAUAAAAUAUAGAAUGCGAUAUAAAUAUUUUGAAUCCAUAAGGAACUUUUACUAAAGCUCCAACUGUUUGAGCGUAAUCACACACGCAUAUGGUGUGGAAUAAAACACAUGUCCGUGAAAUAAAAACAAACUUAGUGUGAAAUAGAAAAUCAUACUCAGAGAUUUUGAAAAAUCUAGAAGGGCUUUGGCAUUUUUUCCCAAUUUGACAGUGAAGUUUCAUUACUUUUCAAUAUUUUCUCGAUCUCCAAUAGGGCUCCUUUUUUCUCAGCAUCGCUUAGACAUAAUCCUCAACAAAUAAAUGAUGUCGGUUAAACUUUAGAUUUCUGUUAUGUAACGAAAGCAUGUAAAUUAGCGGGUAAAGUGAUCAAGACGAGGAAAAAUAAUUAACCUGGCCUUUUAAAAUGUUUCCUCUGCCUAUAUUGUAUAUCUUCUGAAAGGAACUCCCAUGUAUUUUCCCAAACCUUUUCUGGCAUUGAUAAAGUCAUGGACAUGAGCAUGACAGCAAAGUCAUGUCGUAGAAAGGAUGCAGUUCCCGUAUAGCUCGACCUGAUAAUAUCAUCAAUGUAUUCUUGAUCAUCUUCUAAUAGACCACGAGAAAAACAUGUUUCCUUGUACGAAGGGUAUAGCACACGUUUAUAGGUCUUUAUGUCUUCAAAGCAUGUUGGUCCACGAACAAUAUUCAGCAACACAGGUAGAUGAUAUGCUUCCUCAUACUUCUUUGGGGCAUAAUUAAUUCUUCCAAUGCUGAAACCUCUUUUUCUUUCUUGCAGUUUUCUCUCUUUUUUGUUCCAUAUAAACCUUGUUGGAAUUUCAGCUAAAGUUAGCUUUUUAGCAACUGCGCUAACCUUAUUCAGCUCAAACCAGGCAAGGAGAUAAGUAUUCUGAAUCAGCAUCCGGCUUGUUACUUCCUCAUAUAUGUCGUCGUCCUUGAAGAUAAUUAUCUACUUCCUUGUAACCCAUACUUGUCGCAACUACAUAUGGAGUUUGUGAAAGCUUUCCAAAUCUGGGAGAAGAUAUAUGUGGCAUUUGAACCGCUUGUGAGCCAUAUCCACCACUCUGAGGUCUGUCACAACUCUGAGGUACAUAUAGAUGAAGAAUGCGAGCUGUGUAAUAAAAAAAAAGACAAUAGGAGAAUACUCAUACUCUUCACGUGAGGGCGCAUCUUUGAAGUCGAGGUGUUAUAUGGAAUAUCAACAAUUUCGUCCACUGAUCGCUUAGAAGGAGUUGCCAUCUUGCUAGAGCUUACAUCACUGUAAGUCAAUAGAGACACCUAGAGUGUAUACAUAUAUUAGGUGUAUAACUUGAAAUAAAUACAAUCAAAAGUAUGACAAUAUGAACAUCAAUACUAUCUACUGCAUACAAAACAGAUCAAUAAAAUCGAGAAAUACCUCUGAUGCUGAGUUUGCUGUUAUUCCCUUUCCAGACAUAGAUUCCGAUUGGGAAUCAACCAUGAGUGUGUUGUAAACUGACCAGGCUAUAAGUACCUUAAAAGUCUCAGAUCCUUUUUCGAUGGUAACCCCAAAAUUAUAAGUCUUCCCCACAAUUUCAUUAAUACAGUCAAGCAACAUCUCAGGAUCUUCAACCUAAAUCAAACUAUAACAAAUCUUUUGGUAAAGGUUGACAAAUUCAAUAACAUAUUAAGUGCAUUUAUGGCAGUAAAAUACCUCAUCCAAAGAACCAUUGAGAAUUUUUUCAGCUUUUACUUCGAUAACUGGCCAUGCAACCCAAUCAAGAAGCACAAAUUUUGCUUUAGCUGUAUCAUCCUUAGCCAUCAGAUGGAGCUUAUAUCUAAUAUUAAAAUCACAAUAACAAAAUAAGAUCAAGAAAUCUUAAUGAUUGUUCGUUAGAUAACUUAAAGAAGACAAAAUUUUACCUUGGUUUAACAUUCAUCACAUUCUCUUUGCAGUUUUCACACCAAACAAAGGCUUGUUUACGCCAGAAAGAUUUAUAUCUUCAACGGGGACUUUAUAAAUCCUGGUUUGACACAAAUCACAUCCAAAAUAAUACCAUGCAUAAUCAGUAUCUAUAGCACAGAUUGUAGCAACAACCUUGCACUUAUCACCCAACGCUUCCACAUUUACUGUUUACUAGGUUAGCUUGCGUUAUUCUGGUCUUGCAUGUUUCGAGUUGAGCUAUAAUGACUCAACCAGGUGUCUGUUUUCUUAUAUAUGCUAUCGAUGUACACGUAUGUGCGAGUGUUUUUCUUAUUGGUCGCUAUUGCGAGCAUAGGUACUUACGUUAUUGUUUGAUUGAACAUAGUAACCCUAUGCUUAAUAAUGAAUAGGACUAGACAUGUAUUGUUUGAAAAUUGCGGAAGACUAAUAAUUGUUGGAGUCUGACUCAGCGGGGCAGAGGUGAGUUCCUACAUGUUGGAGUCUGGCCUAUGGCUUAGCGGGGCAGAGGUGAGUUCAUGCACGUUAGAGUUUUGGUGGGGAUACGGUGGCUGAGUCGAUCCACGUCGUAUCCCAGCGAUCGACAAGGGUCUACGGGCGGUGACUAUAGGCACUUAACCUAUAUAACUAAGCUUAACGGGGCAGAAGUGAGUUCCUGCACAUUGUGACUGGCCGGGGCUUCGAGGGUACAGAGCUGGGCUCUUGUAUUUUGAGUCAUUGCUUGUUUCUUAGAGAUGUCGUGUUUGUGGUUUGUCUAGGCCUAAAUUUACGAUGAUGGGUUAGUAUUCAGUCGAGUUUAGGUUUUGGUUUGGUCUUCACUGAACGGCCUGUUUGAAAAGUUGUUCAUUCCUUUUUUUUUCUCUUUCCCUUUGAUUUUUGUCAAGCAGAUUCCAGCCUAGAAAAAGUUGGUUUGAGUUAAAGUUGGCGGUUUUUGCUAAAGACGGUUUGCCCGUACCAGAUUUAGCUAAACCCGGAACCCUCUGGAACCGGGUGUCACGAUCACUCUAAAAAAUAGCUAGUGGCUCGGCUCUUCUAGCUUUUAUAAUUCCACGACAUAAGUUAACGUACGACUGUUAAAAAAAAAAGAAAUUAACGUACGACUUCUCACGACGUCUAAGAAACAAAAAGUUGAGAAAGACAUUAACUGGUUCUGUCCAAACCGUCCACCGCUUUCACGUGUGGUUUCCACACUACCUCUCAUAUCUCAUGCUUAAAUGGAGAUAUUGAAAAAACCUUCGCUUUGAGAAAAUCACUGGACCAUGAGCUUAAUUAUCAAAAUAAUUAUCACAAAUGUACAGUCAACUAAAUAAUGAUGCUAAAGAUUGAAUUAAACACCAAGCUGGAGUAAAUAACUCAAAAAUAUGACUAAUUCAUUUAUGUGGCACUAGUAACUUCACAAAUUAAGUAACUCUUGAUCUAGUCCCUUAUAUAUUACAACUUCUUUUCGUAGUUACGUGUUAUCAAUAAGAUCAUUC